GAUCCUGGCUCAGGAUGAACGCUAGCGACAGGCUUAACACAUGCAAGUCGAGGGGCAGCACGGUGUAGCGAUACACUGGUGGCGACCGGCGCACGGGUGAGUAACACGUGUGCAACCAACCCCGUACCGGGAGAUAACCCGCGGAAACGUGGACUAACAUCCCAUGACACUCUAGAGCCGCAUGGCUCUAGAUUUAAAAUUCCGGUGGUACGGGACGGGCACGCGCGACAUUAGGGUAUUGGCGGGUAAGG
Molecule: ribosomal RNA, 251 nt
Filed under: uncultured bacterium
Lineage: Bacteria
Description: partial 16S ribosomal RNA
Rfam family: Bacterial small subunit ribosomal RNA
Source: RNAcentral